RNAcentral lists this ribosomal RNA (433 nucleotides) under uncultured bacterium. Its description in RNAcentral is "partial 16S ribosomal RNA". It matches the Rfam family "Bacterial small subunit ribosomal RNA", at positions 29 to 507 of the family's 1533-position model. The record is from RNAcentral.
AACGGACGCUGGCGGCAUGCCUAACACAUGCAAGUCGAACGAGACCUUCGGGUCUAGUGGCGCACGGGUGCGUAACGCGUGGGAACCUGCCUUUAGGUUCGGAAUAACUCAGAGAAAUUUGAGCUAAUACCGGAUGAUGUCUUCGGACCAAAGAUUUAUCGCCUUUAGAUGGGCCCGCGUUGGAUUAGCUAGUUGGUGGGGUAAAGGCCUACCAAGGCGACGAUCCAUAGCUGGUCUGAGAGGAUGAUCAGCCACACUGGGACUGAGACACGGCCCAGACUCCUACGGGAGGCAGCAGUGGGGAAUAUUGGACAAUGGGCGAAAGCCUGAUCCAGCAAUGCCGCGUGAGUGAUGAAGGCCUUAGGGUUGUAAAGCUCUUUUACCCGAGAUGAUAAUGACAGUAUCGGGAGAAUAAGCUCCGGCUAACUCCGUG